Jaculus jaculus (lesser Egyptian jerboa) is the source of this 106-nucleotide small nuclear RNA. The record is from Ensembl. NCBI's taxonomy places the organism in Eukaryota, Metazoa, Chordata, Mammalia, Rodentia, Dipodidae.
GUGUUCACUUCAGCAGCACAUACACUAAAACUGGAAUGAUAAAAAGAGAUUAGUAUGGCCCUGCACAAAGAUGACAAUGCAAAUUUGUGAAGUGUUUCAUAUUUUU